RNAcentral lists this ribosomal RNA (244 nucleotides) under uncultured bacterium. RNAcentral's name for it is "partial 16S ribosomal RNA". It matches the Rfam family "Bacterial small subunit ribosomal RNA", at positions 28 to 266 of the family's 1533-position model. The record is from RNAcentral.
GAUGAACGCUAGCGGCAGGCUUAAUACAUGCAAGUCGUGGGGCAGCAUGAGUGUAGCAAUACAUUUGAUGGCGACCGGCAAACGGGUGCGGAACACGUACACAACCUUCCUUCAAGUGGGGAAUAGCCCAGGGAAACUUGGAUUAAUACCCCGUAACAUUAUGAAGUGGCAUCACUUUAUAAUUAUAGCUCCGCGCUUGAUGAUGGGUGUGCGCCUGAUUAGGUAGUUGGCGGGGUAACGGCCC